This 401-nucleotide ribosomal RNA is filed under the name Hygromia limbata. RNAcentral describes it as "partial 16S ribosomal RNA". It matches the Rfam family "Bacterial large subunit ribosomal RNA", at positions 1857 to 2597 of the family's 2925-position model. Lineage: Eukaryota; Metazoa; Mollusca; Gastropoda; Stylommatophora; Hygromiidae. The record is from RNAcentral.
CUCUGCUCAAUGAUUAAUUAAAUAGCCGCAGUACCUUGACUGUGCAAAGGUAGCAUAAUCAAUUGGCUUUUAAUUGGAGUCUAGUAUGAAUGGGGUUUCGGGAAAUAACUAUCUUAAUUAUUUAAAUUGAAAUUACUUAAUAGGUGAAAAUACCUAUAUUUUGAAAUUAGACGAGAAGACCCUAGAAAUUUUUAUAUAUUAUUACUUACUAAUCUAUUUUGUUGGGGCGACAUAACAACAUAUAACUUGUCUAAUCUUUAUAUAACCUUAUUGUAUAUCUUAAUUAAAUUACUCUAGGGAUAACAGCACAAUUCAUUAGAGUUUGUGACCUCGAUGUUGGACUAGGUAAAUUGAUGUUUAGAAGAAGUUAAUUUUAGGCUCUGUUCGAGCUAUUAUUACCU